This 253-nucleotide ribosomal RNA is filed under the name uncultured bacterium. RNAcentral's name for it is "partial 16S ribosomal RNA". It matches the Rfam family "Bacterial small subunit ribosomal RNA", at positions 524 to 776 of the family's 1533-position model. The record is from RNAcentral.
UACGGAGGGGGCGAGCGUUGUUCGGAAUCAUUGGGCGUAAAGGGCGCGUAGGCGGUCUUGUAAGUCGGUUGUGAAAUCCCUUGGCUUAACCAAGGAACUGCAACCGAAACUACAGGGCUGGAGUCCGGGAGAGGGUAGUGGAAUUCCCAGUGUAGCGGUGAAAUGCGUAGAUAUUGGGAGGAACACCAGUGGCGAAGGCGGCUACCUGGACCGGUACUGACGCUGAGGCGCGAAAGCUAGGGGAGCAAACAGG